This 104-nucleotide ribosomal RNA is filed under the name Rhizobium sp. L245/93. RNAcentral's name for it is "partial 16S ribosomal RNA". It matches the Rfam family "Bacterial small subunit ribosomal RNA", at positions 1 to 117 of the family's 1533-position model. The record is from RNAcentral. Lineage: Bacteria; Pseudomonadati; Pseudomonadota; Alphaproteobacteria; Hyphomicrobiales; Rhizobiaceae.
CAACAUGAGAGUUUGAUCCUGGCUCAGAACGAACGCUGGCGGCAGGCUUAACACAUGCAAGUCGAACGCCCCGCAAGGGGAGUGGCAGACGGGUGAGUAACGCG